This 344-nucleotide unclassified non-coding RNA is filed under the name uncultured Mortierella. RNAcentral's name for it is "sequence contains ITS2". Lineage: Eukaryota; Fungi; Mortierellomycota; Mortierellomycetes; Mortierellales; Mortierellaceae. The record is from RNAcentral.
AACGCAUAUUGCGCUCUUUGGUAUUCCGAAGAGCAUGCUUGUUUGAGUAUCAGUAAACACCUCAAAGCCCUUUUUCUUUUUUGAAGAAAGGCUUUGGACUUGAGCAAUCCCAACACUUUUUUUUUUUAGAGUGGCGGGUUGCUUGAAAUGCAGGUGCAGCUGGACAUUCUCCUGAGCUAAAAGCAUAUUCAUUUAGUCCCGUCAAACGGAUUAUUACUUUUGCUGCAGCUAACAUAAAGGGAGUUUGACCAUUUUGGCUGACUGAUGCAGGAAUUUCACAAGAGUCUUCAAAAGCUCUUGUUAAACUCGAUCUCAAAUCAAGUAAGACUACCCGCUGAACUUAA